Molecule: transfer RNA, 63 nt
Filed under: Halictus rubicundus
Lineage: Eukaryota; Metazoa; Arthropoda; Insecta; Hymenoptera; Halictidae
Description: tRNA-His
Source: RNAcentral
AUUUAAAUAGUUUAAGAAAAAAUUUUGAAUUGUGAUUUCAAAGAUGUAUAAUAACUUUAAAUU